RNAcentral lists this ribosomal RNA (335 nucleotides) under uncultured bacterium. RNAcentral's name for it is "bacterial SSU rRNA". It matches the Rfam family "Bacterial small subunit ribosomal RNA", at positions 28 to 361 of the family's 1533-position model. The record is from RNAcentral.
GAUUAACGCUAGCGGCAGGCCUAAUACAUGCAAGUCGAACGGGAUUCAAAGUAGCAAUAUUUUGAUGAGAGUGGCGCACGGGUGAGUAACACGUAUGCAAUUUACCUUUAACUGGGGGAUAGCCCUCCGAAAGGAGGAUUAAUACCGCAUAAUAUAUUGAAAUGGCAUCAUUUUAAUAUUAAACCUACGGGGGUUAAAGAUGAGCAUGCAUCCGAUUAGCUAGUUGGUGUGGUAACGGCUCACCAAGGCAACGAUCGGUAGGGGGUCUGAGAGGAUGAUCCCCCANACUGGUACUGAGACACGGACCAGACUCCUACGGGAGCAGCAGUAAGGAA